UGGGGAAUUUUGGACAAUGGGCGAAAGCCUGAUCCAGCAAUGCCGCGUGUGUGAAGAAGGCCUUCGGGUUGUAAAGCACUUUUGUCCGGAAAGAAAUCCUCUGGGUUAAUACCUCGGGGGGAUGACGGUACCGGAAGAAUAAGCACCGGCUAACUACGUGCCAGCAGCCGCGGUAAUACGUAGGGUGCAAGCGUUAAUCGGAAUUACUGGGCGUAAAGCGUGCGCAGGCGGUUUUGUAAGACGGAUGUGAAAUCCCCGGGGCUUAACCUGGGAACUGCAUUCGUGACUGCAAGGCUAGAGUAUGGCAGAGGGGGGUUAGAAUUCCACGUGUAGCAGUGAAAUGCGUAGAGAUGUGGAGGAAUACCGAUGGCGAAGGCAGCCCCCUGGGCCAAUACUGACGCUCAUGCACGAAAGCGUGGGGAGCAAACAGGAUUAGAUACCCUGGUAGUCCACGCCCUAAACGAUGUCAACUAGUUGUUGGGGAUUCAUUUCCUUAGUAACGUAGCUAACGCGUGAAGUUGACCGCCUGGGGAGUACGGUCGCAAGAUUAAAACUUAAAGGAAUUGACGGGGUCAUAGCUGUUUCCU
This 587-nucleotide ribosomal RNA is filed under the name uncultured bacterium. Its description in RNAcentral is "partial 16S ribosomal RNA". It matches the Rfam family "Bacterial small subunit ribosomal RNA", at positions 355 to 1375 of the family's 1533-position model. The record is from RNAcentral.